UGCCGCUUCACAUGAGGGCUGCGCCCCUA
Molecule: non-coding RNA, 29 nt
Filed under: Homo sapiens (human)
Lineage: Eukaryota; Metazoa; Chordata; Mammalia; Primates; Hominidae
Source: RNAcentral